ACUCAAAUGAAUUGACGGGGACCCGCACAAGCGGUGGAUGAUGUGGUUUAAUUCGAUGCUACGCGAAGAACCUUACCAAGGCUUGACAUCCUGGGAAUCUCCAAGAAACUGGAGAGUGCCUUUUGGAACCCAGUGACAGGUGUUGCAUGGCCGUCGUCAGCUCGUGUCGUGAGAUGUUGGGUUAAGUCCCGCAACGAGCGCAACCCUUAUCGUAUGUUGUAUUUUUCAUGCGAGACUGCCCGGGCCAACCGGGAGGAAGGUGGGGAUGAUGUCAGGUCAGCAUGGCCCUUACGCCUUGGGCUACACACGUCAUACAAUGGCCGGUACAACGCGCACAGCCAACCCGUGAGGGGGAGCUAAUCGUACCAAAACCGGUCCCAGUUCGGAUUGAAGGCUGCAACUCGCCUCCAUGAAGUCGGAAUCGCUAGUAAACGUGGGUCAGCAUACCGCGUUGAAUACGUUCCCGGGUCUUGUACACACCGCCCGU
RNAcentral lists this ribosomal RNA (487 nucleotides) under uncultured bacterium. Its description in RNAcentral is "partial 16S ribosomal RNA". It matches the Rfam family "Bacterial small subunit ribosomal RNA", at positions 899 to 1397 of the family's 1533-position model. The record is from RNAcentral.